Molecule: long non-coding RNA, 915 nt
Filed under: Olea europaea (common olive)
Lineage: Eukaryota; Viridiplantae; Streptophyta; Magnoliopsida; Lamiales; Oleaceae
Description: long non-coding RNA (OEUR_LNC012975)
Source: RNAcentral
AUCAAACCCUCCAAAUCUAAAAUCUUUUCAGCAUUACGUUCUCUCUCACCCACCAUCUCUGAACCGCACACGGCAGCGCCGCCGCUUCACCAGCAUCAGCUCACCGAGAUCCACUAUAUCUGGUAGUUCCAACGAUUCUAAAUCUGAGUUUUUCAAUCACCCCCAUAUCACCCAGUUUCUCUUUCUAAACAUAUUCAAGAAAUUGUAUAUUAUUUAUUGUUAUUACAAAUUAAACCCAAUUUAUGUACUCUUGAUCUAAGAUUUGCCUCCUUUCUUUCACUGUUUGGGCCGUUUAUCAUAAUUUCGUGUCUUUUUUGUGUAUAAAUUUUUUUCGACUAUUUUGCUCAAGUGUGUGCUGACGUGGCAAGCAUUUAAUUAUACUUUCCACUUCUUUUAUAGGAUAUUCGCUCCUUGCCCGAUUUGUUUUGGGAUUUCGAUUCAAGGUAAAUAUCAUCUUAUUGUUUGGGUUUACAUCUCAUUUCGAUUCAAGGCAAUGCAUGUCCAUAAUAAGCUCUUAAAGGAGUCCACAUUCUUGGGUCAUGUUUAUUGGGUCACAGUUUCUCAGUAGUUCAGCAUUUACAAGUUGCAGAAUGAUAUUGCCCAUGUCAAAACUAUAUUUCUCAUGUGAGAAUGACGAGAGGAGAAGGGCAACUGAACUCUUCCAAGCAGUCAAGGAGAGGGGGAGAUUUGUACUUAUAGUAAAUGAUGUCUGGAAUUAAAUCGACGCAGAGGAGAUUGGUAUUCAAUGGAUGCAAGUUGGUCAUAACAAGUCUUUCUAACGAAGUUUGUCAUUGGAUAGGUUGUCAGAAGAUUAUAAAAGUGAACACACUACCCGAACAAGAAGCUUGGGAAUUAUUCUUGAAGAAACUUGGCAGAGUUGAACUUCAUCCACGAGUAGAAGGGAUUUGCAAGAAA